This is a non-coding RNA of Otolemur garnettii (small-eared galago), 163 nucleotides long. The record is from Rfam. Lineage: Eukaryota; Metazoa; Chordata; Mammalia; Primates; Galagidae.
AUGCUUACCUGAGAGAGGCAAUACCAUGAUCACAAAGGUGGUUUUCCCAGAGCAAGGCUCAUCCAUCUCACUUGAGGUGAGCUGACCUCUGAGGUACCCUCAGCUGGAGGAAACCUUGUUGCAUGAUUUGUGGCAGCAGAGACUCUGCUUUCCUUUUCCCUGU